CUCCGCCUUCUAGGCCUCCUCCUCCAUUUGACACAAAAAAAGCCACUUCUGCAGACAAUGGAAAAAGGGAAAAAGAAUCCUUAUCCCAGCCUACUCAAAGCUAUACUUAUACAAAAGAUAAAGCAAGGAAACCUGUUGUAUCUCCAAUAGAUGAACUUGAAGAUUUUGCGAUGGGCAAGCCUCAGACGCAUUCACAGGACCAUGCAGAUAUCUUUACUAGAGAAAACAAUAUAGAGGCAAAUUCAGAUGCUGCAGCAUCUGCAGCUGCUAUGAAGGAGGCUGUGGACAGAGCUGAGGUAAAGUUCAGGCAUGCUAGGGGGUUAAGGGAGAGAGAACGCAAUCCAAAGUCAACUAAAAGCAGAGUACCUGUAUGGCACGAAAGAGUUCAAAAAGCAAAAAUAUGUGAACAUGAUGUAGAAGAUAAAGAGAAUCAAGAAAGAAUAUAUAAGGAACAACAACAGAAGGAAUGGAGGAGAAUUGAAAAAGAAAGAAAAAAAGAACAGGCCAGACAAGCUGCAGAGAGAGCUACAAGAGAGGUACAGGAACGGUCAGCUGCUGAAGGUCGACUAAAAGCUGAGAAGGCAGCUGCAGGAAUACAUGAAAGAGCUGCAGCAGAGGCUCGAGAAAGAGCAGCAGCAGAAGCAAGAGACAAAGCUGCAGGAGAAAAGCAGCAGAAACCUGAAAAUGACCUCGAGUCUUUCUUCUCAAUGGGUACUCAAGCAAGCAGUUCACCCAAGCAAAGGGCUACAGUAGUGAGUACAUAUCAAAAUUUUGGGGCAAUUCUUAUUACCAAAGCUGAUCACGUAAUGGAUGUUUCAGGAAUCCAUGUUUGAUGUUCAAUCUCAAAGCAAGGGUGGUUAUGAUGGGACAAGAACAUCUUCAAGUUUCUCAUCUACCAUCAGGAAGGCAUCUUCCACAACAAAUAUUGUGGAUGAUCUAUCUUCCAUUUUUGGAGGUAGUGUUCAUAGUUCUUCCAAAUUGAUUGAUUAUCUACACCCUUGCAGUUAUAGUAGAUUUAGCUAAAUAGUUUCUUUAUCAUUUAAAGCUCCUCAAUCAUCUGGAGAGUUCCAAGAAGCUGGAGAGAGUGAAGAAAGAAGAAAAGCUAGACUGGAACGGCAUCAAAGGACACUUGAGCGUGCGGUACUUUAUUCCUGUCUAUGUUUUUUAAAUAAAAUAUUAGUGAUAGUAGAGAAACUUUGUCUUCUGUCUGGCCAUCUGAUGCUAGAAUCUUAUAAUCUCUUAUGUUACUACGAUUAUUUUUGGCCAGGCCAAAGCAUUGGCAGAGAAAAAUGAGCGUGAUAUGCAAAUUCAGAGGGAGCAGGCAGAAAGACAAGUAAGCAACUUGUUGAUCUGAAAGGCUUACCGGCCUAUACCUGAAUAGACAAUGAAUGAUGGAUCAUGUUAUAUUAUAUCAUAAUGCUUGAUAUUUCACAUCAAUUAGUUUGCCCUUAAUUGUGGUUGUCACUAAUUUCAGAGGAUUGCAGAAGCACUGGAUUUUGAUAUAAAACGUUGGGCUUCUGGGAAAGAAGGAAAUUUGCGUGCCUUGUUAUCAACAUUGCAAUAUGUGGGUUAUUAGAAUUUGUUGACCGUUAUCUAUCGAGGAGCUUAUCUGUUGUUUCUUACUUUUCUCUUCUCCUUUUAUGUCAUGUUACUAUUUGAUAUUAAUUAAUCUUGAUCGACUAGCAUGUCCACGUAAACCAAUCAUUGUUUUUUAUGAUCCUCUUUGGCUGCAUAAGGGCCCUGUUGAGGGGGUGAGGUGCAGCUUAUAUUUUCUUGUACCAUUUUGCAUUUACUUCUAAUUUUGCAAAUGCAGGUAGUUUGGCCCGAAUGCAGUUGGCAGCCUGUAUCUUUGACUGAUUUGAUCACUGCUGCUGCAGUGAAAAAGGUUUAUAGAAAGGCAACCUUGUGUCUCCAUCCGGAUAAGGUGCAACAGAAGGGUGCAAAUCUUCAACAAAAAUAUAUUGCUGAGAAAGUGUUUGAUCUCCUUAAGGUACUUAUCUGUUUCUCAGUUGUUUUUGUUGCCAAAUCUAUCCAUGUGAAUCCCUUCGGCCCUCAGAAACUGAUGCUUAUAGCAGUUAUUAUUCUUGUCUUCUACCUAUUUUUAAGAUUGUGAUGUUUCACGUUUCAAGCCAAACGUCAUAUUGGCUACCCAAAUCAUCACCCCAGCUACGCCUGUGGAUUCACUCAUGCAAACAGCUUUGUGAGCCACAUGUAAUGUGCUUUGCAUCAUAGUAAUUUCUAAUAAUUUUCCUGCAUCAUAGUAAACUACCAUUAACGUAAAUUAAGCAUUAUUUGGUAAUAAACAUUAGAUGUUUCAGGAUUUGAAAAUAAUCUCUAUUAACUUCUGUCAUUGACCAUAAUUGAUAACUUCCAUUUUUUUAGUGCUGUACCCAUAUAUAGACUCUAAACAUAUUUCAAGGUCCGUAUUCAGGAAAUAGAUAAAUGAACAUGUGACAUGGUUAUCUGGAAGAAUUUCUUCCAUGUUUAUCAAUAUUAUAUCCAUGUAGCUUGCCAUGUUAUGUGCACUAUUAAUUACUGAUAUCUAGUAAUGUUUUCAUUUCAAUUAGGAAGCAAGACAAAGUUUUACCGACAUUACUGAGAAAGUUCUUGCCAGUUUGCUUUUCCACUGCUCAUCAUAAAAUCUUUUAGUUGCUUCUUUAAUGAAACAAGAUAGCUAUUUGAACAGGUUAACCUAACAAUCAAAAUACUUCACUUACAACCACCAAAUCCAUUAGCCUAGUAAUAAAUUUAUCUGUGUCAACUUUACCAAAAUAUUUCAAGUAAAAGAUGCUAGAAAAUGGACUAGCCUUUGUUGUAUAAAAUAGGAUUUUGGUAAGAGCAGUUUGGGCAGGGAAACUAGUGACUUUCGAGGUAAUUUGCAUCAAGGGUCAACAAGACCUUUUACCUAUUUGCACUAGAAUAGAUGAAAUUGUGUUGUGUUUUUCAGUUUGAAGUUUUAAGUGAUGUUCUACUAGCUGAUUAUUCUGUUUGGACAAUAAAGGGAGGCAGGUGAACAAACUAUUUUAAUGUAAUUGAAGCAAAUGAUCAACAAUUACAACCUAAAGUAUGUCUUCAGUACUUUGGAUCUAUAAUUCAACUAAAGAGGAAUUCUAGCAAUAUUUCCUACAAAUCAAAAGCUGUAUGGUUAGACUAUAAAAUUCUUGUCUUGUUGUAAUCAUCCAACCUGAAAGAAAAAGAUCUUAUAGGAUGACUGUACUAUCAAUCAACUGUGGAUUGUAAGAUUAGGCAGUUAAAAAAUAAUAUAUCCAUUAAUAUAAAGAAAAAAGUAUGUCUGAGAUGUUAACAUAUAUAUACAAGAACAUUGAGGUGGGUUGGUGGUGUUCCUAGCAAAAAAAGUAAUUCCAUUUAAUGUAAGUUACAGGUAGUUUAUAUCCGAGGAUAUGAUGGUACAAAAUCUUUUGUGGUUAGGUUGGAGGUGAUCAAUGUAGAAGGGCAAAUAAACUCGAGCAUAAGCUCAAGUUCACAUGUACUGGUCUUAUGGGUUGACAAUAAACUAGCUUUACCAUCCUCAAAACAAAAUUUGUGGAAAUUUAGCUUGCUGCGCUAAGAUCCAUGCCUCCUUGUGUUUUCCUUAUUUCUCAUAAUAUUUUCUUUUUGACAUGAUGUAGGAAGCUUGGAACAAGUUCAGUUCUGCAGAGCUCUUUUUAUAGGAUCGACUACAUCGUUGUCCGGGAGAUACAGAGAGGGCAAGUGCAUUCUCAAUUACACUACAAUCCAUGUUUAUUCCAUUGGUUUUCUUGAUGUGGUGAUCAUUUAGCAACGUCCUGCUUCACCCGUGUAGAUGCAGAUUUGAAUUAGGAAACUAUAUCUCUUUAAUGAGAUAUAUAUGUUCGUUGUGUAAAUCCAUGCCAUUGAUUAGAUUACAAAAACUAGUUUCGGUGAAGAAAGCUUGUCAAACACUACCCUUUUUCUUGUGACGGGUUAUGGAUGACUGUUCGACUUGAAUUAGCAAAGCAAAUGCACUGAACUGUAUCAAGUGGUGAUGCGUAGAUAUGCAUCACACUUGAGUGUGUUGUAUACAUAUAUGUAUACUUAAAAGUUUGUUCUAUACUUUCCUUUUGCACCUUCUAUUCUUUGUUUUUUUCUUUGCUCAGUGGAUCUUCUCGGGUUCCGUUACAUCUCUUAGUAUAAAUAUGAAUUGUUGAUCUAAAAUCCGUUACUACAUGACUUGGACACAAACUAAUGUUUUUCUAGAUAAAUUGCGAGACAAAGAGGAAAAGAGAGGAGUAGUAGAAGGCAAUGAGAAGGUGAAGGAGGAGGUGAGGCGGAGUUAGAAGAGGAGAUUCAGCAUAAGACAGAGGAGAGGAGGGUGAAAUGGUUCAUUGACUCAAAUCGGUUAAUAAAAUUUUCUUAAGUAAAAACGAUUAUAAGAGGUAUAAUUAUAUGGUACAUUUUCAUUCAAAGAUUUAUUAUACAAAUAUUUUCAAUGCUUACCUAUUUUCGAUGCUUAAAUUAAUUAUAGAUGGGGCUAUGAAACUCAUACGAGAUACAUAUUUGAUCCUCCAACCAUUACUAUGUUUUUAGCUCUUGCAAAAAAAAUUUCUCUCCCCUAAAUUUUAAAUACUCAAUAAAGUUUCUUUUAAGAUAAUAUUCGAAAAACAAGUAAGUCGAAUUUAAUUUUAUCAAGUCAAAUUAAUGAUUAAAUUUGAUCUUCUAUGCUAUUCUACUGGAUUUAAUGGUUGAUAUCAACACACAAUAAACAUUCAAAAUAUUUUAUAUUUUCUAAGGUGGGGUUGAUUUAGCAGUAGUGAUUUUGUUGACCAUCUUGGAGUCAAUUUUCAGCUAUAUGUUUUUAAAUAUUUUUCAGUUAUUUUGAUGUAUUUAUUGUUAUUAUCUCUGGGAAUAUAUUAGGGUGAUUUUUUGAAAAAAAAAAUAUUUUUUUUAAAUUUUUUUAGAUAAUAUUUUUUCUUAUAUUUUUUUUCAUUUUGUGUAUUUAUUUUCUCUAGCAUCCUAAAUGUCAUUAGUUGUUGCUAAUACUCUCUUUCUUUGUUGUCAUGGUGACACUACUAAUUGUCAGACAUCUUCUUUUCGACUAUCUCAAAGUUGAUUCGCUUUUGUCUUGUUGUGAUCGUCAUCAUCCUCGUCACAUAACGAGAUUCUACUCUCUUCGUCUUUCUAAUUUAAUUGUCACUUUCAUCAUAUCGUUUAAAACUUUAUCAUUAUCGUCCUAUCAUGACAAUAAUCAAUGUUCAACCUAUCAAUGAAAAAAGAAAAAGGUAUAAUAUUAGAGAAAAAUAGAAUUAAAAUUAAAGACAUUGAGUCGAAAAAGAUAAGAGUUUUUCAAAAAAAUCACCCAAUAUAAUAGCUGGAUAAUCUCAAUAUGAUACAUAAGAUAAAUAUUAUAUAAUUAUUCAUUUUUUUCACACUCAUUUUACCAAAAUUUGAGAGAAUUUUUAUCAAAUUUAGAUACAGUAAUACCUGCCGUGAAAGAAAAAUGAACGGGUUGGAAAAAUACAAUGUAAUUUUCUUUAAUACGGUAUAAACGCGUGGGAUCCGCUUCUUCCGAGUUUGACCAGGACACUUCGGUCAACGCGACGGUGGCACACGGUAAUUAGCGAGUCUCCUCUUCCUAUUUAACCGACCCCUUUCCUCUUCUACUCUUUCGUUUCUGUUUCCGCGGCGAACCGCUCAAAUAAAAAGAGGAGAGGAGGUGAGAGGUAGCGAUGGCGGAGAGCCCGAGCUCGAUUGAAUCGAUCAGGAAAUGGAUCGUGGAGCACAAGCUGCGGGCCGUCGGUAAUUUCUUGAAUAUUGGGUUAUUUUUCUCUCUGUCUCGCUCUUUCUAUUGAGAUUCGAGGGAUCUGAUGGGUUUCUUUUGUCUAGGGUGCCUUUGGCUCAGCGGGAUAGGGAGUUCGAUCGCCUACAACUGGUCGCGCCAUAACAUGAAACCCAGCGUCAAGAUCAUCCACGCGAGGUUUGUUCUCGCUGAUCUGUUCUUGCCUGCGCGAACAAUUUCUUGUUUUUGUCUAAUUAUUAGAAAAAUAGAUCUUGUCUUGUGCUUAGUGCUGCUGUCGUGUGACGAAUUGCUGCGAUGAUCUAACGUUUUAAGAAUUAGGGGUUUUUUGUGUUCGGUUCAACUGAUACGAGAUCUGUUCGUUCGAAUGGGUCUUCUCGAAGAAAAGUUUGGUCCUUGAAUCGUGGGUGAGAUGGUUGACGGACUUAUAACAAGUCUUGGGAUGAUAUAUAUUUAGAUAUAUAGCUGCUGAAGAAUAUAUGAUCUUUACUUCCACUUCAACGAGACAUUGAUAAAGGCCAAAAUUGCUGAUCACGGAUUGAAGCCUUUCUAAUUUAAGAGGAUCCUAGCCCGGAUUACAUUAAGGGAUAUGCUGGAUUGGUGCCUGUCAUGAAACGGCCAUUUACUAGCUUAUGGGAUUGGCAGUGUUUUUAUGCAUGUCCGUAUUGCUAUACUUGUUUUUGUUAGUAAGCCUUAGUCUUUUUACCAAAGUACUCAAUAAACCAUAGAUGCAGCUUUCGUAAGGUUUAUGAGAGCUUAGAUGUGCUUAUAGAUAUAUUCACCUUCAUAACAAAACUUAAGUGCUUGUCUAAUUCUUGGUGGCUGAGCAAAUAAGUCAUAAGAUUUGUCCUGAAUAGCUAUUUUAUGUUUUUUUAUUUUAGUUUUUAUAGUGUUCAUAAGUAAUUUCUUAACGUAUGAUAUUUUUUACACUACUUUCUGAAACAGUUUGUUUAUCAAGAUCCAGUUUCGGCUAUUAUUGCUGGAUGGCCAAACCAAUGAAGUUGAUAAAACCUUAGAUACAUCUAAAUAGUAAGCUAGCACCUUAAUUUGCUUUGGUCAAGAAAUUAGGGAAGAUUACAUGCAUAGGAACAAGAAUUUGUAUCAUAUCCAUGUCCAUUAUGGAAGGAUUACAUCAAGCUUGUUUGUAAACCAUGUUAACCAUUUUUCCCAUGCAUGGUGAAGUAUAGUAAUGUUUGAAAUAUUUUUAUAUUUUUGUAAGACCUUCAAUCUGCAAUUGCAUAGAUCCAGUUAUAAGACCAUGGAAUUUUUUUGAACAUAGAAUAUGUGUGGUGUAAGGUGUUACAGUCUGUUUCAUUCCCAAGAAAACGAAAGAAAAGAAAAUAUAUUUACUUUCCUUUUUUUCUAUACAAGAACAAUAAAAAGUUCAUUUUCAUUCACUUCUUAGGCACCAAAUUAACCCUUGAAGAAAGAAAGGAACAAGAAAUGGAAAUGGGGACGUUUGUUUGAUAACUACAGUUGAAUUUUAGGUCAAUAGUUAAUUGCAUACUUGCCAUAAUAUACGGAACUCUAUAAAUUUACCUGAAAGUAUAUUUGGAUCUAAAGGAUUAUUAAAAAAAUUAUUUGAUGUGCCUUAAGAAGAAUUAAGUUUGCUAAAUAUGUGCAUUUUUCUUGCCUACCAAAUAUAUCAUGGAUUGUAGAAUCACCAAGAGUGUACAUGCUCUGAGACAACCUCUUAUGGUCUAACCAUCAAAAAGUCCUAUAUAUGUUCCCUUUUAGUUAAGCCUUCAUUUUGUACUACAAACUUGAUGGACACCGAAUACAGGGUUUACUCUUUAUAUUAUUAUGCAUUUAGUAUACUGAAGAAUAUUAACAUGUUCAAACCUCCCAUGAACUUGGUAUACUGAAUUCUGCGACGGACAUGAACUGAAGCUCUUUGGACAACUGCCCUUGAAGUUGCUUGCGUGUGAUUGUGAUGCACAGCAAAUCAUUUUGGCAGUUUGCAAUUUUCAUCUGUAACUCAUGUAAUCAUUAACCGUGUGAUUUGAUUUCUUAUCAUUUACCUUCUCUCGAGUUAUUUAGAAUAUGUUAUUAUUCAACAAACGUACACCCGUAUAAAGGUAUCACCAGAAGCUUCAACCUUUUUACCACAUAGAAUCUUAGUUUGUGCAUAUAUCUUCAAGUUUCAUCCUUCUUGAAGUGAUUAUAAGAUUUAGUUUGACGCAGAUUUCUUGGUACAUGUAUCUUGCAGGUUGCAUGCUCAGGCUCUGACACUGGCUGCCUUAGCUGGUGCUGCCUUGGUCGAGUACUACGAUCAUCAGUCUAAACCAGGAUCAAAUGUGGUCAAAUAUCCCGAUCAAUUCCUGGCACACCCACAGAAAGACUAGAAGCAUUUGAUGAGCCGCCCUCACCCUCCAAUAAACUCUCAGAUCACUCGAUUUUUCUUGAUUCGGUGAUUAUUCUUUUCUAAUGCAUUAUGUGCAAACAAUUGCACUAAAAAUCAUUAUUUUCUGUAAAGGCAGAGUUCAGUUUCUGUCGUUGCCACAAUCAUUAUAUUGGCGUUGUCAUUUUGAUGCCUUUUUCUAUUUAAAUUUAUGAAUCAGUUAAAGAUGAUUUAGUUUCCAUGAUCUACUAUAUCAAUGAUGAUUUGGUGUCUGUAUGUAAAUAUAUAGUAUAUCCAUGAUCUACUAUAUAUUUUUAUUUUUGAGUUGGUUCUUUGUGAACUUGUCCAACGUCACUACGUGUGCAUGCAUGCAUGCGGCUGUUUCACGCUAAGAGUCCAUUGUAAUAUUAUUAUUAUUAUUAUUAUUAUUAUUAUUAUUAUAAAUAAAUGAUAAAUACGGAAUUUGCGCUCAGGAUUUUUUCGAUAAACUAUUAUUGCAAAUUAGUGUGCGGUAUUGUAUCAUAUGAUUACCGAUACAUGCCAUAUGCUAAGCACAUGCAUCUCACGGGCAGGCAGUCUGAGCGCUGGAGCUCUCUGUGCGUGGGUGAGCCGGUUUAUUUCUCGGUUCGAUGACGGCCCAUUCUUCGAAGCCGGUCCAGAUUUUGUCCAAUAAAAAAUAGAAUAUGAAUGCGGUUAAUUCAUCCGCGAACGCGCAAGAAAAAGGCAGCUUCUCUUGACGGCUUCACUCUCCAUCCCCAUCCAAUCAUCACCGUCCUCGUCGUCAUCUCACUCCCGGAUGAUUUCUAGGGCUUUGUUGUUUCGCUUUUCAUCUCGAAAGCGGCGAUCCAAUUCAUACUCUCACGACGAGUGGUGCUGAUUCUUGUCAGAUCUCGGCCCUGGAGAGACAAGGCAGGGUUUGUCGAGGUUCCCAUUUCCGCCUUCUCUUCGGUUUUUGAACCUUUUUUGUGCCCAAUUUGUCUUUCGCCCUCUCUAUUCGUCUGUUUCUUGGACCUAAAGUGGAACAUCAUCGGAUCGGUGGAGAAUCAAGAACCGGUUGAGACGAUGUAGCCGUAAAUCUUUAUCAAAACAUGCCCAUUCUUGAAGAUUCUGGGUUGACUAGAUCUCGCAUUGUGUGAUGGUAAUCCUCGAAAGUAAAUUUGGUGCUUUCGUUUCUUGGAGUAUUCGAGUUUCGAACUGUAAAAACGGAAAGAAACAAAAAUCUUGACCCAAUCUUCUUCCUCAAUGCGUUCUUUAAAGUUUUGACUUCCAGGACUGAGACCUUGUCGCAACCAUAUGUUCUUCAUUCAUAUGAAAUCUUUAUACUUAUUUCAGUAAUUCGAUCUUCAUGGGUCUGAUGCUAAAAUUUUAUUCAUUGCCAGUUCUCUGACAAGCAAUACUUUCUCUGGUUUCAUAGUGCAAUUCAUAUUGACUGGAUUUGUCUAAUUUGUUUUGACAUGUAAAUCGGUAAUCUUGAUAGGGUUUGAAAUGUGAACUCUGCUUUAAGAUGUUCCACCAGAGCAAGAUCAAGUUGGCUGCGCUCGUGGGGAUCACAUUGUCCGUGCUUUCUUUGCUUGUGCACAUUUUUGUUGCAAAUUAUUCAGUGGGGGACUUUCUACGAUACAAGUUGCAAGAAGACUACUUAUACCCACAGGGACAUGUAUGUUAAUACCACGCAUCCAACUAUCAGCAUUUCUUAUUUUACAUUUUAUUUUAUGGUCAUACUAAAUUUGGUAUUUAUUUUUAGGAAGCGUCCUUUUUGACCUCACACUUCAUCUUAAGAUUUUCCUUAAAAAAAAAGCUUCUUGUUGUUUAUGUUGGCUAUAGUAGUUUAAUCAUAGUAUACUCUUACAGAAACUUUGGCAUCGAAGGUUGUGGGGUCCGGUGAGCUCCUUGGAGGUCUUGCAACCAUAUGCUAAGCCGAGAAAUUUCUACCCUGGUAUUGCAUUUCAUUAUAAGCUUUGUUGCAUUCAUUUAGUAAUGAGGAUUGAAAACCUUGACUAAAGGAUAUCCGCUGAAGGCCAUUUCUUGUUUCAGAGCUAUUAAAUGAUAUCUGAAGAUGAUAUGCUUAUUCGACAGCAAUAACUGUAUAGAUCUGGUAGUUGCAAGUUCAAAAUAAUAAUUUGGCCAAAACAACAAAGGUAAACAUCAUUUAAUUAAGAAAAAAAUUGAAAAAUGCAUCCCAUAUCAUAUAGGCAAAACUAGUUGAUUUUGAAGUGAUUUUAUUUGGAGGUUGCUUUACGAUUUUAUCUAAUCAGAAUUUGGCACCUUUCAACUGGAUUGAUGCACUUGUGUAAAGAAAAAGCUUUUGUCUUCUAAACUUGAUACUGAUAGUGUGGAAUUACUUUAAAUACAGUAAAUUUCUGUUUUUUAAUAUUUCUUCUUGGCUUAUGAGGUUCUUUGGUUUUUUAUAUGUCACAGUUCCAGGUCAGCAGAAUGGUUUGAUAUAUGCAAAAAUCUUUGGUGGAUUUGUGAAGAUAAGAUCUUCAGUAUGUUUUUCCUUCUUCUAAAGCACACUAUUUACUGGAAUUAAGAUAUUGUCAUGACAAUGCCAGAUAGCACAUGGUUUGGCAUGUGUCAUCCUUUGUGCUCUGCCCGUAAAUAGACUCAGCAAAGCUUUGUGCCUGUUUUUAAUACUUCUUGGAACAUCCAGUGCAUACACAUGGUUUGGUAAGCACAUGCUAAUGUGUUUUUUCUUUUUUCUUUUUGCAGAUUUGCGACCUUGUUGCUAUUGCAAGGCUCUUAAAUGCCACACUCGUCAUUCCAGAGAUCCAACAAAGUGUUCGUUCAAAGGGCAUCAGGUCUUUCUAACGAUGCUUUAUGUGCAGUUUUUGGUGCUCUAAUGUCUUUUGUACUAAAGAUGCAUCUGCUUAUUGCUUUUAUUUUUUUUUUGCAUACCAGUAAAAAAUUUAAGAGUUUCUCUUAUCUUUACGAUGAAGAACAGUUCAUAGCAGCACUUUUAGAUGAUGUUAUUGUUAUAAAGAGCUUGCCAGCAGAUCUGAAGGAGGCUAGGAAAAGGACAAAAUUUCCUACAAUAUCACCGAAACGAUCAGCUUCCCCAACUUUUUAUAUCAGAGAAGUCUUACCUAAACUUAAACAAUCAAAGGUUAUUAGGAUGCUAGUUUCUGAUGGAGGAUGCCUUCAGGUAUAAUUCAAGUCUUUUUUUUUUCUAAAAAUUUUAUUCAAAUUGAAAUUGGUUUUUACCUCCCUCCAUAAACUAAUACAUCUGAAGAAUUAGACAUGUCCUCUGUUUGUUAGUUUUCUCAGAACAAUAAUGUUAUCUUAGUUCUUGGAAAAGAAGAGGUGCAUACAAAAAGUUUCAAGCACCUCUUGUUCCCGGUUGUUACAAAUAAAUAAAUUAAGUAAAAGCUUAUAUGAUAUUGUGAGCUACCAUUUCUGUUGACUAAUGGAACUGAAGAUGUCACAUGCAUGACAUCGUUAAAAUCUUUGAGACUUUUUUCUUUUAUAUAAUCAGACAACCUAACAUACUGAUAGUUGGUUUUCUGAAUAGAAAUUGUACGCUGAGCACUUUAUGCAUUUUCUUCUACAAUAUCAUGUAGAGCUGAUAAUACCCCUCAAGUAUUGGUCUCUGGUUUCUGAGAAAGCAUUUUUAGACAAAAAAAAGGUCAUGAAAGCUAAUUCAGAUAAAAGAAGGCGCACGGCUAUGUUGUAACUCGAGCUCCUGCAGUCAGGAAACAGCUUUGUACAAUUAUACAGUAGAUAUUAGAAGCACAUAGAGGCAAGAGACAUGAUGAAACAUUAAUUCCUCUAUAGAGUGUUAUAUCAAUGAAGUAAAGUUAUGACAUGCACCAACUGAGUGGAUGUACUCUUCAGUGAUCCUCAAGACAAAAGAGUGAGGAAAGGUUUGCAUCUCUCUCAGUAUAUAUAUAAAUAUAAAUAAAUACAUACAUACAUACAUACAUACAUACAUACAUACAUACGUACAUACAUAUGGUGAGGUGCUAAGGAAUAUUUGCACAUAGAACUGUGGAUUGCAUUACAUAUGCAUCUUGUAUGUGAGCUGUAAAAAUGGUUUACCUCCAUCUUUACUGGGUUUUGUUGUUUAAUCAAUAUCCAGAAGUUAUAGGCCUUUUAAUAAGUAGACUACUAGUUUCAUAUAAUGCUUUUCUCCUUGAAGUUUUUGUUCAUGUAUGAUUAACUAAGUUGACAAGAAGAUUUUUUAGUUUGAUUUAAUAGGUUUAUAAAUAUUGAUAAGUGAUUGUCUUGUUCCGGAAGAAUAUUAGUGUCUAUUUUGAACAAAAACUAAAUAAAUGUUUUAAAAUUGAAAGUUAAUGUUUUCUCAUUAAAGGAUCUUUCUACCCAGCCUUAGGGUUGGCACUAUACAGAAGACUUUCAUUAACUGUAACAUAAUAACAUUGAAACUCAGGUGGAAAUAUAAAAACACUUUAUGGCUAUGGCUGAUUUUGUAUGUAAACAAAUGAAAAGUCCUCUUUGUAGAAGCUUUCUACAAAAAGAAAGAAGUAAUAUAAAUAUUACCAGACCAAAUGCAACUAUUAGCAUCAACAGCACCAGAAAUAUAGGUGUAAACCUGUUAUUUGGGGCUGCAUGUUCUUUGUUUCCCAAGAGCAUUAGAAAGAAAAGAGGCAGAAUAUUUCUGCAUGUCUUUAGGAAAUUCAUCUUUUAAGAAAAGAGUAACAUAUCUGAAAAGAGUUGUAUUUUUUGUUUCAAGUUCUAGGUCAAUCUGUUGAAAUGCCAAGGAAUAUUGUCCUAAUCUGAUAAUUUUGAUGGGCAUAUGUAUGGAUCCUCAAGGAGGAGGCACUUGAUAUGGGAUGUUUUUUUGACAACAAAAAAUCUUGUACCUAGCAAGAGAAUAAUGUGAAAAGAUUACAAUAGAGUUGCAUGUGAAAUUGAAAUAGGUUUCUCUGUUCAAAUAUUUUGGCUUGUUGCAAAACUAUUUUCAGUAUUCAAUACCUCAUAAGUCUAUUUGUUUUUCUUAUCCAUUCUUGUUUAUGUAGCCUAUCCUUCCAUCAAGCUUGGAUGAAUAUCAGAGACUUAGAUGCAGGGUUGCCUUCCAUGCUCUUAAAUUCCGCUCAGAAAUUCAGGCACUUGGCAAACAAAUGGUAGAAAGGUAUCACAUGUUUGCUAAAUCAUGAAUUAAAUGAAAUAGCUAAAGCUUUAUUCCAUAAAAGAAUAGAAUUCUUUGUUGCAUACAUAUAAGGGAUCAUUCAUAUUUAUUCUGUAAGGUUGUGUUUAUGAACUGGUGCCUGUAUUCCGCUCUCAAAAUUUUUAGUCAGAUUUGUUCUUGCCCGACUAUUACAAAGUUGGAGUGUGCUUAAAUAUGGCCAAUCUCAAAUUAAAUGUCAUUGCAGGUUACAGGCAACUGUUGGUCCGUAUCUAUCGUAUCAUCCAGGCCUUGUCAGGAACACCCUUGCAUUUCAUGGUUGUGCUGAACUUUUCCAGGUUGGUGCCAUUUAGAAGUAGUCUCAGUGCCAUAAGUAGUAUGUGGUUUGUUUCUUUUGUAUCUCAUUCGUUAUUUUUAUUACAAAGAAAAUUCAUUCAUUGUUUAACUCAUUAGUCUGAUAUUUGACAUGCUGGAUUCUAGUAUGUCGUGCAUGAUUUCAUAUCUACUUGACCAGAGUUCUUCUUGACACUGGAUAGGAUGUUCAUACUGAACUCAUUCAGCAUAGAAGGAAGCAGCUGAUAAAACAGGGAACAGUUGAUGAAGAUCUUAUUGUUGAUUCAGUUUCUAGAAAGACAAAUGGUUCAUGCCCUCUAUUGCCUGAAGAGGUGACUUUACCCAUUCAUCUCCAUUAUGUAAUAUUAUCUUGCUUAAAUGAUGCUAGGGCAAAUAUGUUUUAUUUCUAACUCCAAGAUAAGAAAACUUUUAAAUUUCUGGGAUUGAUUUUUUUGUUUCUAAUUCUUUAUAUUUUUGCUAAAAAGUUUAGGGCAUUGCUGGAAUAACUGGUUCCAUUUGCACUUCUGAUCAAUCUUCAACACUUUUUAUUAUCUUGUGGUUCACAUAUUUGGUUGUCUAUUUCUUGGUCUUGCUGUGGUGAAGUUUGAGCUUCCCGGUCAAUUGCUUAACCCUCCAAGAAUGUUUGAGAGAACUGACACCUUCCUGGUCGACCUUGCCUGAUCCAUCAUAAAUGUCUCCUUUGUCUUAUCCUCAGCUGUUAUUACCUCUACCUUAUUUAAUUGUAAUCAUUUUGGAUCGCACAAAUGAUUUAUAAUGCAGGUGAGUAGUAUUUGUUGAGCACUUAAGAGUAAUAAAGCAAGGUUAGGAAGAAAUUCAAUUUAAGGCUUUGAUUUCAGAUGAACUGCGAAUUUCUAGAUUCCAGUAGCAUCUUCUAUUAGAAAUUUGAACUUUCUUAUUUGUCCUCUCUAUAAGUAGAUGCAAUCAAGUUGCUCAAUAUUUCACCAGAAGCUACUUUAGCUCGCUAAAUGUUAUUUUGAGUGAAGUUAAUAAUCUUUGUGUAUUUUCCAUGUUCUAACAAAUUUUAGAUGUCUAUGUUGAAAUUUUAGCUUGAAUCUUUGCAGGUUGGACUUCUUCUUCGAGCAAUGGGAUAUCCACCAAAUACCGUAAUCUAUUUGGCUGGUUCUGAGACAUUUGGUGGGCAGAGGAUUCUAGUUCCAUUGCAAGCCAUGUAUACAAACUUAGUAGAUUGCACAUCCUUAUGCAGUAAGAAAGAGCUGUUAAACUUGAUUGGUCCUGAAUAUCCUCUUACUUCAAAUCUCUCUCAGCCUCCUCCAGUGAAGAGUGAAAAACAACUUAUUGAGGAGUGGAAGAAAGCUGGGCCUCGACCACGACCCCUUCCUCCCCCUCCUGCAAGGCCCUUUUACCAGCAUGAGAAUGAAGGUUGGUAUGGUUGGGUUGCUGAGACUGAUAUAGAGCCUGAGUUUUCGCCUUUGGAUCUUAGGAAGCAAGCACACAGGUUACUCUGGGAUGCUCUUGACUAUUAUGUUUCUGUUGAAGCUGAUGCAUUUUUUCCUGGUUUUAACAAUGAUGGUAGCGGAUGGCCUGAUUUUUCAAGCUUGGUCAUGGGGCACCGACUAUACCAAACACCUUCUGGAGUAACCUAUCGCCCUAGCAGGUAAAGUUCCUUAUAUUAGUUUGUUCCAUUUGAGAAAUAGAAGAAAUUAUUUGUCGAAGUAGCAUUUUUAUCUUUUGCAGUUCUCAAUGAUGCACUUGUUUUUUAUUGGAUCUUUCUUGCAUUAGAUCUUCUUCCUGGAUGAUCAUAACCUUGCUGCAGUGUGAUGCAGCAAUUACUCUUUCUGACACUUCAGAGACUGCUGGUGUUCUCUUCUUUUUCUUACAGCAGAAUUUUUAUUAGGUACAAUAGGAGCUGUAGACCAACUUGAGAAAAGCUCCAUUUAUCAGGCAUUUACAUAUUCAUCUAGGGAAAACAAUAUUAUGCUAAACUGAAACUAAUUCCCAGCAAUUGAGCUGUCCGCUUUCUAAUAAUGAUCCUUCGAUUGACCUAAGCUUUAAAUAGGAUGUAAUUGGAUUGACGGCUAUUUUUCUUUCUAUCAAAAAUGUGCUGCAGCAUCCCUUCCCCCUUUUCUUUCUUGCAACCUGCUGCUGCUACAGCAUGGUUAGCUGUUGUGCCAAAAUAGGGUGCUGGUAGAAUUUGUUAAUAGUAAUAAAUGAAUUGAAAAGAAAAAAGGAAAUAAAAGAAGAGAAUGACUUGAGGCCUUGCCCUCUGAUGACCAACCAUCUCCAGCAUCCUCUCGUUAGCUGUUCUGUUGGCUCAGACCUAAAGAGGGAGGUGACUGCAUAAAAAAUCUGUCAGUUUGAUGACCACCAUUUUAAGUAAAUAUAGACUGGAUGGUGGAUCAUCAACCAAGCUGCACCAAAUUGGCUGCAAACUAAUGUUUCAGUAAGCCAGUUCAUGUGCUUUGAUUUCUUUGAAACUUGUUUGAAAAAAAGGGCUGCUAUGCCAGUGAUUUUCCUGUUGAAAUUCAAAUCGUUGAUCUUUGACCAUAUGUUUGAAAAGAUUUCUGCCUAGUCUCUGUAAAAAAAGUAUGAUCAAGACAAUCCUAGUAAUACUUGGAGUGCACUACAAGGGUUAAAGUGAAAUUUUUUUUGUGGUAUUGGACAUGGUCAAGUGUGUACAAAUUUCAAGAGAAGGGAACGUGGGUUACAACAAAUAUUUGGCAGGAUUGUUAUUAAAAAUCUGGAAUGUUUGAUAGCUGAACUCUCCCUUUAUUUUAUCAAAAUCUUGAUAUCUAUGUUUUCUUUGUAUGGUUUCCAUGGUGGUUGACAUAUUGCAACUGUGUAUUAUUUGUUUUGUUGCCUAACUUAAUGCAUUUCUGAAAUUAUUAAACUUUCACCUACCUAAAUUCUCUUUCCAGAAUUUCUUAUUGUGGAUAGAUUGUUGUAUAUAAAGACAACUAAUUUGAAUUAUGAUAGCUCCUUUCCAUAUCUGCUAAAAGAGGCUCUACAUGGCUAUUUUCCAUGCAAACCAUUUGAAUGAGUUGGGGCAACAAAUGAAUUUGACAUCUUUUAGAAAAUCUGGUCUGUCACAGACAACGUGCCAAAGGGGUGUGAUUUGUUCGUUCUUGUAGAUUUUAUACUUAAAAAUUUAGAGUUGAGACAGCUGCGCUAUUUUCUAAUAUGUACACUACUGAGUUUUGCUUCCACCAGGAAAACACUUGCUGGGCUGUUUGGCUCUGUACAUGAUAACUUGUAUCAUCCAACACACAAUUGGAUGCAACUGGUGCGGGAUCAUCUUAACAAGAGCUUGGGUAUUGACGGACUUCUAGCAGGGGCUAAAUCAUCAAAACCUGCAAAUUUUCUUUCCUACCCUUUCCCAGAAUGUGCCUGCCGAACUUCGAAAUCUUAUGACAUUCCUGCACAUGUGAUGAGCAGCAAUGGUGAGAUAUUGUAUGGAAUUGAGGAUGAAUGUCCUGAAUGGAUGGUUCGUGGCCUAGCAAUGGCUUCCUUUAAGACAACUGGUGCCAAAGAUGAGGAUGUUGACGAGAUCGAGUUGCUGGAAGAUGACAAUGAGACAGACGGACAGUCUGAGUCUGAUAAUGGAAGCCGAAGUGACACAAGCAGAUCCAUGGAGCAUGAUGAAGAGAUGGAUCUAGAUGAUUAAAACAUAAUAGUGAAUAGAGAGAUCCAAAUUUGAAAUUGGCUCUUUCGGGAUGAGUUUGAAAGCUGUUUGUCAAGGCUGUAAAGAUAUAACCAAAGCUGCAAUCACUGUGAGUAUUCUUCUUCCGCAAGCAGAUCGAGGACACAUGCUUAGUUGCAGUUGUGGAGUGCUUGUUGAAUGUUCGGUCUCCAUAUACAAUCUACUACAGAAGUUAGCCUUAGCAUUCUUUUUGCUCCUGCCCUCUUUCAUAAAUUCCUUAUUUUAAUUUAAUCUGUACAUUUUAGUCUGUAUCUUUAUGUACAUCAUUCGUUAGUUUGGGGAGGAGUAUAAAAUUUCUUGAACCCAUAAAGAACCAGAGAUAUAAACCACUUUCUGAUCUUUGGACUACCAAAAUUGAUGCUGCUUGUUUCACCUGUGCAGAAAAUCAAGUUUGGCUCCUCACAACUACCUAGUGCUAUAUUAAUAUUUCAUACAACUCUACCAAUGCAGUAACAUGGCCAUGUGCGUAAUCAGAUGAAGAUUUCAUGGUCCUGUGACAUCUGAUUUGAGUAUGAUGACAGCAUUGUUUUUGCAUUUAAUGCAUGUUUUGAUGCAAUUCUUGGUCUAUUGAUGUUCGUAUGGCUGAAAUCAACUCUUUCUCAACAUGCUGUGAAGCUGGCUGUUGUAUCUGCAUUGACCAGUACUCAGCUGGAUCCCCCAUUAGAGUGAAGAAGUAUCUUGGUGUGUGCAGAGAUUGUCACACGGCAUUUAAUUUUAUGUGCAAGAUUGUUCCGGGGGAGAUCAUCAUCAGAGACACCAACCAAUAUGUUUCAUUGUUUCUGAGAAUGAGCAUGUUCUUGUGGAAAUUACUGGUGACUUUGUGAGGGAUCAGGAUGUACAUUAGGAUACUGGUGACUUGUUUUUAUUAAUAAUAUCACCAAACAUUUUCAGCAGGAGUCACAACCUCAGCUACUUGAAGAUUACUGAAGUUACAAGGGAUUUAUUUUCAGUUUUGGCAAAUCAAUGAAACACAAGUGUUUUAAGACGUAAGGAGUAUUCAGAAGUAUUGUUGCUUGGCUUCUCAGGAUUUAAUCAUUUCUCUCUUGUAUGAAUUAUUAUUUUUUGCAUUGUUGAAGAAGAGCAUGAUUCCUCUUGAUUCAUCCUUCCCAGAUAAGGAAGCAGAGAUCAUGAGGUAUGUCAAUUCUACUUUGAUAUGUGAAAUUGCAUUUUCCUUCUUAAAUUGUCUUUCAAACCUCUUAAGUUUGUGCCAGUUUCAUGUUUUUUUGCAAGUAGAAAAAUAUUGGUAGCACCUUUCAAUUGUGGCUGGAGGUGGAAGAAUGUUGAGAGGUACUUUCAAUCCUAAAUCACUCUCAAAAACUAGCUUGCUACUGAUUGAGUUUAUAAUUGACCUCAAUAUCUUUAGGGUAAUCACCAUGGAUAAUUGACCUCGAUGCCUGGAUUUGUUCAAGCUUAAAUAUCUCUCUGCUGAGUGAGGUUUUCAUCAAUAAAUUUCUUCAUGCUUUUUAGUUUCUCCUCAUCAGUUAAAAUAAUCAUAUGAUUUUUUCAGGUGAUCGAAAGAUAAAUUAAAACUAAUAUUGAGGAAAAAAAGAACUUGUGAAUUCAUCAAAUUGCUUUAAUUAACGUUGACCUGCAGGAACUUUGGAGUCAUGCAUGAGUCAUGUGGGGUACUUCUAAGGAAAAUUUGACUAUAUCUCCAGGAAGAAUGACCUUGAUUGCAACUUUAAUCUGUGUUUACCUUAACCUAAAAAGAGGAUUACAUGGUACAGCCCAGCUCGACCAGAUUAGGUUUCAUCACUAAAAUAGUGAGUUCAGACAAUUGCAAAGUGAGUUGGUGUUCAGAAUCUGCAGGUCAUAACUCGAAACUUUGCAUGUGAGCAGGGGACACAAGCGCACUCAUUCAGAUCUAAUGUGACCUUCUUAGGUUUCCUGGGACAAGUUUUAGGUACUGUGGCCUUCAUGGAGGCCAGGGUUGGUGCAAGAUUCAUCCUCAGUUUGAGUUGCUACAGGGAAGUUUCCAGGUACUUUCUUGGUGGAGUUGGUUGCAGCGUAGAACUCCAUUUGAAGUCAAAGGUCAAGUCUUAAACACCUUCUUUUAUCAAGAACACAAGGUCUGAUCUCCUUACUGAUUCCAUGAAAUCUUUUUUUGAUUCCCAACUUGCCUUUGACUUUUAUUUAUCCCUAUCUACUAGCUUCUGUGGCAACAGCCAAGUACUUGGAUGAUUAGGUUAAGAAAAGCACUUGCAGUCUGAAAGGAAACUAGAAACUACACUUUGGUCAUCUCAAUCUCUUUCCCAAGUCAUGGCAUGGCCAGAAAAGCUGGAGUUGGUCCAAAAAAUUCCUGAGCACAACAUGCAAUGCGUUUGCCCCACAAGCAAGUGAAACUCAACUUGGCUGCUGCACCAGAAAUAGGAGCCCUUCCAAUCUUUUCCUCCUCCUUUUCUCCCUCGUUUCCUCCUUGUUAAUGUCGGUCAUUGAAACCAUCAAGAAGGCUGCUCACCUGUGCAGCCAUCUGUGCUGGCUUCCUUUGACAUGUUAUAGGUCUCAAAGAGAUGGAUGAAGUAAUUGAAUUGAACUAAUAAAACCUCAUGAAAAGAGAGGUGUCAAUAUGAAUACAUGGACAAAGGAAAAAGGAGAAGCCUCGAGCAUGUAGCUUCAAGAGCCACCAACAAGUGUAACAAACGAAGAUUAAUGGACUACUUGUGCAGCUACAGAUUCACAUUCCUCCUGUGUGUGUUUAUGUAUUGUUGUGAUCAUCUCAUUGAAUUAGUGAUCAUGAUCAUUGCCAUUGCCAGAGCUUGAUCCAUCCCAGGCUGCACCCUCAGGGUUAGAACAUCCUUGUCGAGUAAUUUCUUCGCCAUCGAACCGCACUUUCUGCUAACCUGUCCACCAAAUAUUUGAUCGUUCGAUCAAUACACAGUUGCAUUUAGUUGAAUCAUCCGACACUAGAGUCGAUAGAUACCUCAGCCACCGGUGUGUUUGCUGCAGCCUGGUAGAUCUUCGACCACUCCUUGUCUCGCGACCAGUUCAUCCUGUAGCCUAAAGGCUUCACUCCACAGCCCGUGAACAUGGAUAUGGUGCAACUAUGGCAGCCCAGGUUCUUCGUUGCCUUGAACAGAGGCAUUCUCUCUCCGACCAUCCUUUGCACGUCUUUGUCGCCCUUGUAGGCCUCCCAGCUCUCGGUCAAGUUUAGAAUCUGUACCACAUAGAUGAGCAUUAGAAACCAGUAGCAGCACAUUUCUCGAGUUCAGGAGUUGAAGUCUAUCGUUUUGAGUAGAAUGGAUGGGAGAGAAGUGUACGUCUUUUGUUGGAUUGGGUAGAAGAUUGUGUGAUUAGAGAUUCAGUGGGUCUCUUUCAGGCUGAUGGAGGAAUGCUUUUUAGCCUAAGGAAUGAAUUAUUGAGGUCAUUUCUUGGGUGUCGGUAGGUUUAAUGCUUGUUCUGCAAUUUAUGAUAUUGAGGAGACAUCAAAGCUUCGUUGUCUAUUCAUUUCAUCAAAUCGCGUAUCUCUUACAUCCUUUCCUUCAUUGUAUUGGAUCGCACAGACAACGCAAUGGAGCAGUGAAGAAGAAGAAGAAGAAGAAGAGUCGUAGGCUGACCUUGCGACGGCGGCGGAUGGUGAGCAGGACAUUGCCGGUGUAAUCCAUGAGCACGGUCUCCUGCCUCCAGUUGUGGGCGUAGUUGUCGACGCGGAAGACCAUCCGGCCGUCAGAGUCAUCGUAAACGGUGUAGCCGUGGCCGUGGAAGAGGAGCGACUUGCACCAGACGGUGAGCCGGACGGGCGCCGGCGAACAGAGGUCCGGGAAGAUCUCCCUUCCGCACAUCCGGUCCUCCGCUGGAUUCUUCUUCCCUCUCGUGGCUUCCAUGAGCAAACGAGGCGGAGAGCUUGAACCUCGACGGAAGCCUUCCCUCGGGAACUUUUAUAGUGGCUCUUGCGAGGGGUGGUGGGAUCGCUGUUGACUGCAUGCAGCCUUGUGAUUCGAGGGGGAUGCAUGCAUGGGUUUGACGAGAAACGUGGAGAUUUGGCUUGUUGAACACCGGUGAGGAAGCUUCGUGAUCACCCGUCUCUUUGCUUGAGACAGCCACCGGACCAGUUUUGAUCCUACAUUUGGAUUUGACCUGACUUAGUUCAUUCUCUACUGUUAUCCUCAUCCCAAAACAAAAAGAUACGUAUGUGUCUCUUAUCUCAUUUUAGUUUGAGGACAAAAAGAUACAUAUUGUUCGUAUGAGGUCAUUUCGUAUUGUAUUGUUUUCGUAAUCUUGGAGUCAAUAGGGGAAUAAACUUCUUAGAUACUUUAUUGAUGAGGCUCGUUCAGUAUCUAAUAGGUUGGUAUAUGAUCAAUCAAUCAUGCAGAAAGUUUGAUGCGGCGGUCAUGCAAUUAGUCUAUAAUAAGCGUUUGUUCCGUUAUAAUGAUAUCGUUUGUCGCAUCCCUAACUUUAUAUUCUUCAGAAUAAGUUCCACAUUUUUCAGCUCUUCAAUCCCAAGAACAAAGUGGCGGCCUAAAAGGAGAAGGUAGUCAACGCUUCUCGUUCAACUUUCCCGACUGCCUACACCAUCUAUCUCACUUCUUCCUCAUUUACGCGGGCGAUAUUUGGACUAAUGAUCAUGACAUCUUCACAAGGAAGGAUGCGUCUAAUGACUUUUCUUUGCACCAUCCAACCUUUUCGCAUCCCUGACUGAGCUUUUGGAACAUUUCUUCUUUUCCUGUUCCAAUAUUCUGCGUCACUAUUAUCUCAUUCCUGACACAAGAGAGAGAGAGAGAGAGAGAGAGAGAGAGAGAGAGAGAGAGAGAGAGAUUGCGGUCUGAAACUAGAGCAAGUGGACGAUGUCGUCAUCCACAAUUUUGAUGGAAGAAUGAUGGCAAUGUUGGAAGUGUUGCCAAGGAAUCGAAUCGAUCACGGUGGCAUGGGAGUUCUUCCAGCAUCGUCUCCACCAGUGGUGUGUGUGUGCUUUUUCUUACUAGAUGAGCAUGAUUUUUGCAAGGCGAAAUUUCCAUUCGGCUUCAUGGUUAACUGGUCCAACCCAACUCCUCCUCAUCUCAAUGGUAUUCUCGAUGAUGAAUAUUUAGUUGAUGUGAAUAGAAAUAUGUUCAUUUGAUGAUGACGUACUCAUCUCAUUUGGUAUUAUUCCAAGUACAAAAUGAGACCGAUUGGUGGGGGAAUGAAAUAUGAUUGAUUUGUGAGAGAGGAAAAAAUUGCAUGUAGAAGAUAUGGAAUGAGAAAUUUUGCUUUCAUAUAUUCUAUGUUGAGGAUCUUUUCACGAUCAAAUUUAAUUAAUAUUUAGAUAAAAAUAUGACUAAUUUAAUAGUCAUAUUAUGUCUAAAUAUUAGGUCGAAUGCCAAAUGGUUAAUUAGUUUAUCAAUUUUGUUUGACAUAAAUAAUUGAUCAAAAUGUUUAAACUGAAAUUAACUUAUACACCAAUUAGAUUUUUAUAAAUCAAUUUUGAUCUUAUCUAUUUUUGAUAUAAAAUUAAUUGAGAGUAUUAUAAUAUAAUUAUAACUUUAAGUUUUUUGAUCACUCAUGUAGAUUAAACGAAAUUGAUGAAUCAAUUAACCUAUCAAACUCGAGUGACAUUUGAUAUCAUAGAUCUAGUAUUUGAAUAUAACAAUGAGGUCUGAUAGAAAAGAGCUACAUGGAUGGAGUCAAAAGACUCGUCACAAUGUGAAACUACCAUUGUGCUAUACCUCAUAUGUAUCGUACUAAGAUUUGAUCUGAAUUAUGUUAAACCUGACGUAAAACACUUGAGUGAGAAGGGAUAUUAACACCCUUGAUCCAACAUCCAAAAUAGGUAAGAUUAAAUUUUACUUACAAGAAUAUGAUUAAAAUUAUUAUUAAUUUCAACCUAAAUAUUUUAGUUAAUAAUUUAGAUUAAAUAAAAAUAUUUUUUGAUUUAAUUUAAUUAAAUUAGUUUUAAUUAAAUUAUAAUUAACUUUACCUUCAUUCUUAUUUAUUUUUCUCAUCUCCAACCCGAAGCGAAUCCCGUGCAUACCGUCAUUCUUAUUUAUAGGGCCUCUUCCUCUCACUUGAUGCCAGUAGAUAGGUACAUGAGGAGGGUUGAGUUAACAAUGAACCUACUGAAGUUAUUAACUCAAAUAUAUAAUUAAUGCAUAUCAUGAGAAGAAUAGACCAAUUAAGGUGUUUAUUCUAUCCAAUAUUAUGUUUUUUUCCCUGAAUGAAUGUGGAUAAGAUAUAUUAUAGAUCUCGGCCACGUUAUGAUCCACGUCAUGUCACACCCUUGACUUGCCAAGUCAACACGAGGGCUACAUUUCUCCCACGUUGAGCCGGAGCCCGUAUAAGGAGGUGCCCCCUCGGCAAGUCCCGUCUCAGACAUUGAUCCAUGGAUCAAGCCGUACUGAUUCUUUAACCACGACACAUAGUUCACCGACAAAUAUAAAUAUGUCUUUCGUACUAUUCAAAUAUAUAUAUUUUUAACUAAGUAAAAAAUAAUUUAUGGUAUAUAUAAAACUAGGUGAUAUUAAUUAACUAGGCCUAGGCUGAGUAUCAUAUAUAAUUCAUGCAUAUCAUAUCAUCCGAACAAUGGACCAAUUAAGGUGUCUCCAAACUCCAUAAAUAUGUCCUUCAUACUAUUCAAAAUAAUUAAAAAAAUAAUAAUUUAUGGUAAUAUGUAUUAAUAUAUAAAAUAAUUUAUGGUGAUAUUAAUUAUUAGGCCUAAGGCUGCAUUUGAGAGCUUAGAUGUUUGUUAAUGGGCCAAUUAUAGGCUCAUAAUUUGGGCCUUAGAUGAAGUUGAGCGUUUGUUAGGGCCCAUUUUGAAGUUGCAUUCAGUAUUUUCUUUUAGAUUUAUUAGAUGUAAUAAAUAUACGGAUGCAAUUAGGGGAAAAGAAUGUUAAUGAUGAUUCAAUUACAGGGAUUAAUGGUCUCCUAAGGAUGUUUUAAUGGGGUUGGUUAUGCUGCGCACCUGCAGGUUUGCCGUUUCGUAAACGUACGGUCGUUCCCUGUGCUAAAAGAUGAGACUGCGUGAGCUGUCCGCGCCGUGGGUUCGCAACAACCAAGUGGAUACAGCCAGACGGCCGGCACAGGAUAUGGCGUGACGACAUGCGCAAGCGGUGUGCACACCAAGUCACCGGUUAGUUGAACCCACUCGAGUCCCCCGACCGCCCCACGUGCCCUCCGCGUGACCCGAACGACGACGUCUCCCCCCUCCCCGCUUCUCGAGACCCCCAUGGGUGCAGAAACAUCCGUCCGAGGACCGACAGGGUUCGGGAUUACGGUUCGAAAAUGUCGUUUCCCCCGCGUGGGUCCCACGGACGAGGGAGGAACGGCACCCUGGAUGGUGAUUGGAAGCGUAAGAGGGGAUUCCGUAUGGGCGGGGGUACCAACUCGAUCGUGAGGCGUGAGCCGACCCUCCUCCGUCCCCGCGCUGACCUCGGCGAGCCGAUGCGGAGGGGUAGCGUCGUCAUUUUAUCCUUUCGUUUCUAUCUUUUUUGGGUCUCUCCCCGUCAUCUAGGCGACGCCGGCUAACGCCGAAAUCUUCUCUCUCUCUCUCUCUUUCGGGGGGGACAAAAGAAGAGGGCGAGCGAUGCGGCGGAAGGUGGCACCGGAUUCGACGGCGAUGGUGGCGGGAGGAGGCGGCGGGGGUGCGACGGAGGCGGAGCAGGCGCAGCUGUUCUCGGCGAUCAGAAACGGGGAGGACCUGGGACCGUUCGUGCGACGGGCGUUCGCGUCCGGGCGGCCCGAGUCGCUGCUGUCUUCCCUGCGUCAGUUCGCGCGGUCCAAGGAGGCGGAGAUCGAGGACGUGUGCAAGGCGCACUACCAGGACUUCAUCCGCGCUGUCGACGACCUCCGCUCCCUCCUAUCCGACGUCGACUCCCUCAAGUCCGCCCUCGCCGACUCCAACGACGCCCUCCAGUCCGCGGCUGGCCCCCUCCUCGCCGCCCUCGACGCCUACCUCGAGGCCCGCUCCAUCGCGGCCAACCUCGCCGCGGCCCUCCGCGCUGCCCGCCUCUGCUCCCGUCUCUUCGCCCUCCUCGCCCGCGCCAACGAGCACCUCGCCGCCGACCACCUCUAUCUCGCCCUCCGCGCCGUCGCCGCCGCGGAGCGCGACCUCCUUCCCGCUGCCCCCCACCCCACCAUCCGCCGCAUGCUCCUCCGCCUCAUCCCCGCCGUCCGCGCCCACGCCGAGCGCAAGAUCUCCAAGGAGUUCUCCGACUGGAUGGUCCAGAUCCGCGUCGCCAGCCGCCACCUCGGCCAGAUCGCCAUCGGCCGCGCGUC
Molecule: long non-coding RNA, 25369 nt
Filed under: Musa acuminata (dwarf banana)
Lineage: Eukaryota; Viridiplantae; Streptophyta; Magnoliopsida; Zingiberales; Musaceae
Description: long non-coding RNA (MACU_LNC001512)
Source: RNAcentral